Molecule: ribosomal RNA, 723 nt
Filed under: uncultured Bacillota bacterium
Lineage: Bacteria; Bacillati; Bacillota
Description: bacterial SSU rRNA
Rfam family: Bacterial small subunit ribosomal RNA
Source: RNAcentral
CUCCUUCGGGAGUGAAACUCGUGGAACGAGCGGCGGACGGGUGAGUAACACGUGGGCAACCUACCUGUAAGAUCGGAAUAACCCCGGGAAACCGGGGCUAAUGCCGGGUAACACCUACCCUCGCAUGAGGGAAGGUUAAAAGAUGGCUUCUUGCUAUCACUUACAGAUGGGCCCGCGGCGCAUUAGCUAGUUGGUGAGGUAACGGCUCACCAAGGCGACGAUGCGUAGCCGACCUGAGAGGGUGAUCGGCCACACUGGGACUGAGACACGGCCCAGACUCCUACGGGAGGCAGCAGUAGGGAAUCUUCCGCAAUGGACGAAAGUCUGACGGAGCAACGCCGCGUGAACGAUGAAGGUCUUCGGAUCGUAAAGUUCUGUUGUUAGGGAAGAACAAGUACCGUUCGAACAGGGCGGUACCUUGACGGUACCUAACGAGGAAGCCCCGGCUAACUACGUGCCAGCAGCCGCGGUAAUACGUAGGGGGCAAGCGUUGUCCGGAAUUAUUGGGCGUAAAGCGCGCGCAGGCGGUUCCUUAAGUCUGAUGUGAAAGCCCACGGCUCAACCGUGGAGGGUCAUUGGAAACUGGGGAACUUGAGGACAGAAGAGGAGAGUGGAAUUCCACGUGUAGCGGUGAAAUGCGUAGAUAUGUGGAGGAACACCAGUGGCGAAGGCGACUCUCUGGUCUGUCUCUGACGCUGAGGUGCGAAAGCGUGGGUAGCAAAC